Molecule: ribosomal RNA, 416 nt
Filed under: Colchidoniscus kutaissianus
Lineage: Eukaryota; Metazoa; Arthropoda; Malacostraca; Isopoda; Trichoniscidae
Description: partial large subunit ribosomal RNA
Rfam family: Bacterial large subunit ribosomal RNA
Source: RNAcentral
UCAGUCCGAAGCAUGCCGCAGUAUUCUGACUGUGCUAAGGUAGCAUAAUAAUUUGCCUUUUAAUUUAAGGCUAGAAUAAAAGGCCUGACGAAAGACCCUCUGUCUCUGUUUAUUGCUUAACUUUAUCGGAGGGUAAAAAAGCCUUCCUUGUAUAGAAAGACGACAAGACCCUAGAACCUAUUAUUUACUUUGUAAACUACCCUGCUAAUAGUCUUCAAACCCUAUAAUUUGCUGGGGCGGCAAAAGUUUUUACAACUUUACUUGUAACAUAUUGAAUGGUGACAAAACAACCCGGGCGAAUUUAAUCAGGUACUCUAGGGAUAACAGCACACUUCACUUUUAGAGCCCUAAUCGACAAGUGUUUUGUGACCUCGAUGUUGAAUUGAGCUCUCUAAUUUAAGCAGGUUAACUCCAGA